AGUACAACAAGCUUGUUAGGGAAGGGCGCCAAACCUCUUUUGCUCCAAUGCUGAACUUUGUGCGUACGGAGAUCCAGAAGCAAGCAGUUGAGCAUGAGACCGCUUUGGAGUCGUUUCCACAUGGUGAGAAGGGCGAGAGUUCAUUUCGAGAAUUUGUGAAGCGCCAGGGCCAGAAGCUACGUCGGUUGUCGAACCUACUUGGUUGCCGUGAUCCUGAGAUUAUGACGCCGUCCCAAUCAAGGUCCGCAUC
This is a long non-coding RNA of Lolium rigidum, 250 nucleotides long. RefSeq lists it as uncharacterized. The transcript has 3 exons. The record is from RefSeq and is a predicted model, not a curated record. NCBI's taxonomy places the organism in Eukaryota, Viridiplantae, Streptophyta, Magnoliopsida, Poales, Poaceae.